RNAcentral lists this non-coding RNA (36 nucleotides) under Prorocentrum micans. Lineage: Eukaryota; Dinophyceae; Prorocentrales; Prorocentraceae. The record is from RNAcentral.
AGGAAAAAAAAAAAAAAAAAAAAAAAAAAAAAAAAA